RNAcentral lists this long non-coding RNA (619 nucleotides) under Hordeum vulgare. RNAcentral describes it as "long non-coding RNA (HVUL_LNC002729)". Lineage: Eukaryota; Viridiplantae; Streptophyta; Magnoliopsida; Poales; Poaceae. The record is from RNAcentral.
UCCUUCCGCGCGCCCACGUCGACGCGGAUCUCCCUGCCGCCGUCGCGGACGCGGACCUCGAUCGCAUCCUUGUCAUACCCUGCACGCACGCACACGCACGAACGUCACCACUAACUGCUCAUCCGUGCUCGCAUCAAUAGCACACCACGACGGUCGGCGCAGUGCAACGCCGAUGAUGCUUAGCUUAAUUACCUGGGAGGUGGGCGAGGACGAGGAAGGCGUCGUCGGUCUCGGUGGUGGUGAAGGCGAAGUCUUGGCCGGCGACGGCCUGCCGGGUCUCUUGCAGGGCGAGGUCGAGGUCCAUGGCCUAGCUGCUCGUGGCGUGUGCGCAUCAUCUGCCGCAGGGCGCAGUGCGAAGCUGGUCACGUGUGGAUCGAAUAGACGCCGCGCGCGGCUGUGGGUACUCUUCUGUACGUAAAAUCCUAAGCGCGCGCGGAAAUUUAGGAUUUUCCUUUAGCAUUUUAGGGGCCGAUGCUUUUUUUAUUUUAUUUUAGAAAAGGGGGGGCGAUGCUUUGGAUGCACGUAUGCGUUCCUUGGCGACAUGGGUUUGGUGGAGAUGCUUGUGUUGUGCUUUGGCGCGGUGACAAGGGCAACGAAGGACAAUGCACUUGAGAAACAG